Molecule: non-coding RNA, 93 nt
Filed under: unclassified sequences
Description: DUF1874 RNA
Rfam family: DUF1874 RNA
About the family: Hot springs metagenome only.
Source: RNAcentral
GUUCCCUCUACCCACUGCGGUGGCCAUCCAAGGUAAGAGGUGCCAAAGGCACCCGCCGCCGCCUUCCGCAAGGAAGAGGGUAGAGGAGGAGGA